GCUGGGGGAUGGGCUCAAGGCCAGACUGAGACUCUCCAUGCAGGAUCAUUCCUGGGGUAUCACUUGGCCCCUCACUGAACCGGUUUCUGCCUUCAAGGAAAUUGGAGGACCCGGGAGGCUCCUUGAAUACCAUGGAGAUCAGAUGUCUCCACAGCCAUUAAGCCUGAAAGAGUCAGUACUACAUCCUUGCUAAAGAAGAUAAUGGGAAGAGGACUGGUUCAAGAUAGAUGAUAUUUGUGAAACUGAAAAACAGCCUGAAGUGCAUGCCUGAGAGAAAGAUUACAAGUUCACUGUGAGGAAGAUGUGGAGCCUUCAACCCUGAGGACCACCAAAAGAUCCUCCAGAUGUCAUUGUGCAUGCUCUGUCUGGGAGGAGCUAAUGUAAAUUGUUUACUGGAACUGAUUUGGAUAAUCCUGCCUUUUCUAAGAAAUGUAAUAAAUAUGCAUAUCUAGUCUGUAUAAA
Long non-coding RNA from Colius striatus (speckled mousebird), 462 nucleotides. RefSeq lists it as uncharacterized. The transcript is spliced from 3 exons. The record is from RefSeq and is a predicted model, not a curated record. Lineage: Eukaryota; Metazoa; Chordata; Aves; Coliiformes; Coliidae.